RNAcentral lists this non-coding RNA (150 nucleotides) under Oscillochloris trichoides. RNAcentral also lists the same sequence under 1 other name. Lineage: Bacteria; Bacillati; Chloroflexota; Chloroflexia; Chloroflexales; Oscillochloridaceae. The record is from RNAcentral.
CUAAGUUGAUACCAACGAGGUGACCCGCAAGAAGCCCGGAUGCUAGGGCGUAAAGGUGGAAGCUGGUGUGAGUCCAGCGCUGUGCCGCAACUGUGACUGGCCGAUGAUCAGGCCGGAAGCCAGGAAGCCUGCCUCGUUGUUGAUCGUUUC